This 495-nucleotide ribosomal RNA is filed under the name uncultured bacterium. RNAcentral's name for it is "partial 16S ribosomal RNA". It matches the Rfam family "Bacterial small subunit ribosomal RNA", at positions 28 to 507 of the family's 1533-position model. The record is from RNAcentral.
GACGAACGCUGGCGGCGUGCCUAAUACAUGCAAGUAGAACGCUGAAGGAGGAGCUUGCUCUUCUGGAUGAGUUGCGAACGGGUGAGUAACGCGUAGGUAACCUGCCUGGUAGCGGGGGAUAACUAUUGGAAACGAUAGCUAAUACCGCAUAACAGUAGAUGUUGCAUGACAUUUGCUUAAAAGGUGCAAUUGCACCACUACCAGAUGGACCUGCGUUGUAUUAGCUAGUUGGUGGGGUAACGGCUCACCAAGGCGACGAUACAUAGCCGACCGGAGAGGGGGAUCGGCCGCACUGGGACUGUGACACGCCCCAGACUCCUACGGGAGGCAGCAGUAGGGAUUCUGCGGCAAGGGGCGGAAGUCUGACCGCGCAACGCCGCGUGAGUGAAGAAGGUCUUCGGAUCGUAAAGCUCUGUUGUAAGAGAAGAACGAGUGUGAGAGUGGAAAGUUCACACUGUGACGGUAUCUUAUCAGAAAGGGACGGCUAACUACGUG